This 93-nucleotide small RNA is filed under the name Pongo abelii (Sumatran orangutan). RNAcentral describes it as "processed transcript". The record is from RNAcentral. Lineage: Eukaryota; Metazoa; Chordata; Mammalia; Primates; Hominidae.
CCAGGAGACUCUGGAGCGCCAGGCGCGGGGGCUCUGCACACAUGAUCUUCCUGUCCCUGGAGGUGAAGCUCCUGCAGUCGCUGAAGUAGGGAC